RNAcentral lists this long non-coding RNA (204 nucleotides) under Setaria italica (foxtail millet). Its description in RNAcentral is "long non-coding RNA (SITA_LNC007063)". The record is from RNAcentral. Lineage: Eukaryota; Viridiplantae; Streptophyta; Magnoliopsida; Poales; Poaceae.
GGCAGCAAACUCUUGCGCGCAACACGCGCUCUACUCACCGGAGGGCAACAAACUCUUACGCACAACACGGGCUCUACUCACCGGAGGGCAGCAAACUCUUGCGCGCAACACGCGCUCUACUCGUGGGAGGGCAGCAAACUCUUACGCACAACAUGCGCUCUACUCACCAGAGGGUACCAAACUCUUGUGCGCAACACGCGCUCU